Schizosaccharomyces pombe (fission yeast) is the source of this 1191-nucleotide non-coding RNA. Lineage: Eukaryota; Fungi; Ascomycota; Schizosaccharomycetes; Schizosaccharomycetales; Schizosaccharomycetaceae. The record is from the annotation of a GenBank genome assembly.
UUAAAAAUAGAAUAUACGAGAUUUUCAAUUUUUGCGAGUGAUUCCUCAGAUGCUCCUUCGAGACCAACAGAGAAAAUUCCUCUCUUAGUGGUAGAAUCGUAUCCACUAUUUGGAGCAAAAUCAGUACCCAAACCUGAUUCAAUUAAGGCCUUGUAAAACGGUGAAGAAAAUCCAUCAAAACAUAACUUCGAUAGAACCUUAAGAGCAAAAGUUUCAUAAACAUUUGAGGUAUCGUUUGCAAGAAAAGAAAUUGAGGUUUUUACUUGCCUCCCAGGAGCCAUAACCGGAUCUAAGGGACCAUAUUCCACUACCCUUUUUUCUUGGUCAAACUCCUUUAAAAAGGUGUUUGGUAAAUUUAGCUCUCGUUUUGAAAAUGGCCGAAAUGUCUCACUGAGCGCAGAUAAGUUAUCUUCCAAAGGAAAUGACCCAUACGAAAGAAUUUUGGCGUUGGACGGAUGAUAGUGGGAUCUGUGGAAUUUAACUAGCUCUUCAUACUUAAGAUCAGGAAUUGCCAAAGGAUCACCUCCACUGUUGAAUCCGUACGCAGUUCCCUGAAAAAGAUGUUGCUGGAACAGCAUAUAAAAAAUGUAAGAUGAGUCAGAAACUUGGCCUUUCAUUUCAUUGUAAACAACACCAUUAAAAAUAAUUGGAGACUUUUUAUCGUUAACGUCAGCAUGUUCGAAUCGCCAACCUUCCUGUAAGAAAUCUAGUUUGCGCAGCUUGGGAAACAAAGUAGCAUCUAAAUACACAUCCCGGAGGUUUUUAUAGUCGGUAGUAUUCACGGUUGCAAAAGGAUAAAAUGUAAAAUCUGAAGCAGUAAAGGCAUUCAUAAAAGUUGCUAAACUACGGUUCAACAUUUUAAAGAAAGGAUCUCGAACUGGAUACUUAUUACUUCCACAAAGAGUUGUGUGUUCCAAAAUAUGAGGAAUUCCUUCAUCGUUUUCUGCUGGAGUUUGGAAUCCAAUGCUGAAAACGCUAUUUGGAUCUUCUCGAUCCAGAUGUAUCAUAUCUGCAUUGGUCGGCUCGUGUUUCAAACGAGUAUAAUUAAGCUGUAACUCUGGUACUUUUUUAGUCUAGGAAACAGUUAGUAGUUCCAUUUUUUUAAAUUUGCUUUAGCUACUUACAUCGACUACACGAAAAUCAUGGACUUUGUCGCCAACAUGCAGCCAUCGCUGAAAUAGUCGACAGUUG